This 5460-nucleotide long non-coding RNA is filed under the name Nicotiana tabacum (common tobacco). RNAcentral's name for it is "long non-coding RNA (NTAB_LNC018364)". The record is from RNAcentral. Lineage: Eukaryota; Viridiplantae; Streptophyta; Magnoliopsida; Solanales; Solanaceae.
UCACUUCAAAAAAAUGUAACGAACCUAGAGGGAGAGAUGGCAGAGCCACGACGCAGUACCAGAGUAGUGCAGCCACCCAAACACUUGGAUGAUUACGUGGUCCCAAAAAGGACAUCUCUGCCAAACUCGUUAGUGGGAAGCAAGCACCAGGCUGUCCCAAAUGCAGGGGAUAUUGUUAUAUAAACUCAGAGAGACUCUUUGUUAGGAUAGGAAUGAGUUAAGUCUUUAUUUUGCCUUAAUUUUCUUUGUUCUGGAACCUUUCCCCAUUCUCCCUUUUGUUUUUUCUUUAAUGAAAUUUUAGUGUUGCUGCUCUUUCUUGUUCAAUCCAAAGCUGUAAUCAGAGGUUUGGUUAUUUUCCAUUUUGAAUCAAUGCAAGUUCAUAACAAUUUGGUGCUCUCGUUGACCUUCCCUACAAAUGGGUGAAGGUGAAAUCCCUAAUACUCGCCUGAGAACAUUGGAUGCAGAUAUGAAACAGGUCCAACAACAAAUAGCUGCUCAUGACUUGAAGCUUGACACCAUCUCCGCCACUCUGCUGGAUAUUCUAACUCAACUGAGCUUGCAAUCUCAAAAUAACCACACUUCCUCUCCUAACCCAGCAAAAACCCAUGCUUCUACUACACCUCCUGGUUUUCCGACCAUGGCCUCCGCCAGUUUCCAAACUAUAGCUUCUGCUGGUUUUCCCCCAUCCACCACAACAAACUUCCAACCCCGAAACACACCACAACACCCUCUUUUCACUUCUUACCACCAAAACUCACCACCACAACAACCUUUCUUCACCACUUACCCCCCAAAACUCAUCACCACAUCAUCUCUUUAAUUCUCAGCCUAUGUUAUACCAGCAAUACACUGGGACUUACAAUCCUUUAGGCCAGUUCCAUCGUGAUAAACCCGCCCUGAUAGAUCUGUCCCGCUUUGAUGGCUCCUUUGCUGAGAGCUGGGUGUUUCAAGCCAAUCAGUUCUUUGAUAACUAUGGCAUUUAUGAAGAAUACCGUCUCUCUCUUUAUCCCUUCUAUUUUGAAGGUGAAGCCCGUGAGUGGUAUCAAUGGAUGCACAAAAAUCUCCAAAUCAUGAGUUGGAGUCAAUUUACAACGGCGUUAAUAGUUCGAUUUGGACAGAGAUUGUUGGAAACGCCAGAGAGCCUGCUAGCCAAACUUCAGAUGACCUCCACAGUAAAGGAAUAUCUGUCUCGCUUUGAGCAGCUGCUCAACCGUACCUCUGAUAUAUCUCCACCCUGGCUCCUACAUUUUUUUUACUUCUGGGCUGCGUUCAGAUAUUAAAAGUGAGGUGCUAUCAUUUAGGCCCAAGGACUUGAAUGAUGCAAUUGGGCUCGCUUUCUUGCAAGAACAAAAAUUACAAGCCCAAGUCACCAACAACCGACCCACACCACUGCCAAGGUCGCAUUACUCUCAAACCCCACUUCCUUCAAACCACUUUCAAAAGUCAAGCCCGGCUACCAUUAUUCACUCACAACCAUCUAUCUCAAUACCUCCGUCGCCGUCUUUACCAGGACUCGGCCGUCUACCCUACAAGAAACUUACACCAGUGGAGUUGCAGCGUAAACGUGAGCUUAACUUGUGCUUUAAUUGUGAUGAAAAGUACACCAAAGGUCAUCGCUGCUCUACUAGACCUCAGCUCCUUCUUCUACUGACCGACGAUGAUCCUUCAAUUGAAUCUCUCAUGGCCACCACUGAGCUUCCCUCCGAUACUACAUCACCUACAUUACCGGCAACCGAUCCAGCUGUCCCAGCCAUUAGCUAUCUUGCUCUGUCGGGUGGGUCUUUUCCAACAGCCCUCCAUUUUACUGGCACGGUUAAAGGCGUUUCUAUUCAGGUACUUAUGGAUAAUGGUAGUACGCACAACUUCAUACAUCCCCGAGUUGAUAAAUUCCUUAAAGUACCAAUUGAGGACUCGUUGAAAUUUUUUGUUAUGGUGGGCAACGGCACUCUUUUGAAAUGUUUGGGGGUGGUUCGCAGCUAUCGCUCACAAUUCAGGACCAUACACUUGUCGCUGAUUUCUUUGUCCUUGAAUUUGAAGGCUCCGAUGUUGUACUGGGCGUGGUUUGGUUGGCCACCUUAGGCCCAACUGUGACAGACUAUGCUGAGAGAAAAUUUCAAUUCCAGGUCCAAGACAAACAAGUCACUUGGUUUGGCCACUCUAGCCCACUCAUUGAGCAGGCCCAACUACAAUCCUUGAGGCGCCUUCAAACCACUAAUGCUAUAGCAUACAUGUUCCACUUAAAAUUAAUGUUGCCAUCUUCUCCUAUAAACGACCCACUUCCUGUAGACCUCUCUGCCAUUUUGGAUUCCUAUCCUGAGAUGUUUUCGCAAACAUCAACCAUGCCUCCACCUCGCCCGCAAGAUCACUGCAUACCACUGGUUCCGGGCUCCGCCCCCAUCAAUGUACGCCCAUACCGUUACCCACACUUCCAAAAAGCUGAAAUUGAACGUUUGGUCUCCGAAAUGCUGCAUUCAGGCAUCAUUCGUCCUAGUUCUAGCCCAUAUUCAUCUCCUGUCUUAUUGGUUCGUAAGAAGGAUGGCACCUGGCGAUUCUGCAUAGACUAUCGGGCUUUAAACUCCAUCACCAUCAAAGACCGUUUCCCUAUUCCCACCAUUGAUGAGUUGUUCGACGAACUCCAUGGUGCUUGUAUCUUCUCUAAAUUGGAUUUGCUGGCUGGAUAUCAUCAAAUUCGAGUUCAUCCCAAUGACAUUGAGAAGACCGCAUUUCGCACACAUGAAGGUCACUAUGAGUUCAUAGUGAUGCCUUUCGGCCUUUCCAAUGCCCCUUCUACCUUUCAAGCUACCAUGAAUGCCAUCUUUAAGCCUCUCUUAGUCGUUUUGUCCUGGUCUUUUUCGAUGAUAUAUUGAUCUAUAGUAGUUCUUGGUCCGACCAUCUUCAACAAGUAUUUGACUUAUUACGCCACAACUCUUUAAUUGUGAAGCGCUCUAAAUGCAAAUUCGGGCAGACUUCAAUUGAUUACCUCGGGCAUAUAAUUUCGUCCAUGGGUCUCCAGGUGGACCCAUCAAAGAUACAAGCAAUUGAAGAUUAGCCUCCUCCAGUAUCUGUCAAGGAAGUUCGUGGUUUUCUCGGUCUUACGGGCUACUAUAGAUGCUUUGUCAGACAUUAUGCCCAAUUGGCCUCUCCAUUAACGGACAUCCUAAAAAAAGAUGCCUUUAAAUGGACCGAGGACGAAGCUAAGGCAUUCACUACUCUGAAACAAGCCUUGAGCUCUGUUCCAGUUUUAUGUUUACCCAACUUUCAAAUUUCUUAGUUGAGACUGAUGCCUCCGGCACUGGCAUUGGUGCGGUGCUAACCCAAGAGGGCCAUCCCAUAGCUUUUUACAGUCAAAAAUUGUCACCUCGUAUGCGAGCUGCAUCCACCUAUCACAGGGAGAUGUUCGCGAUUACUCAAGCGGUGCAAAAAUGGCGACAGUAUCUGUUGGGUUGCAAGUUCGAAAUUGUCACUGACCAGCAACCGCUGAAAGCUCUUACAAACCAGGUUAUUCAAACUCCUGAGCAACAACGUUGGCUCACAAAGUUAAUUGGCUAUGAUUUCGAUAUAGUUUAUCGACCUGGGAAACUCAAUGCAGCAGCUGAUGGCCUCUCCCGCCUUCCUACCUCGCAAUUUCUCUCUCUUGCUCUUACUGAAUUUGCCCUGGUGGAUAAAUUGAAGGAGUUAAAUAGAAAACAUCCUGAUUUACUGAAUUUGCAACGCCAACUAGUCACUUAUCCUAUCGCCCUUCAUGAGUACUCCUUUCAAGAGGGGCUUCUUUUUUAUCACAACAGAUUGGUUGUCCCACAAGACCAUGUUCUCCGCAACCUUCUGCUGCAGGAAUUUCACGCCUCAAAAAUUGGCGGACAUGGGGGAGUGGCGCGUACAUUUCAUCGAUUGUCUUCAAAUUUCUAUUGGCCCGGAAUGCGAGUGGAUGUUAAAAAAUUUAUUCUUGAAUGUGAAAUAUGUCAACAGAUGAAGGACUCCUCGUCAAAACCGGCUGGCCUUCUUCAACCUAUACCUCUGCCUUCCGCAAUAUUUGAGGAGAUCUCUAUGGAUUUCAUCACCGGUCUCCCUCCUUCCCAUGGGCGCAUAGCUAUUUUGGUCAUCGUGGACCGUUUGUCCAAGUAUGGGCAUUUUUUGGCAUUACCAACCUCCUUCACAAGCCAAAAAGUUGCUGAACUCUUUGUCCAAGAGUUCAUCCGCUUACAUGGCUUUCCGACCAAAAUCAUCAAUGAUCGUGAUCCCAUAUUUUUGUCAGAAUUUUGGCAAGAGAUCAAUCGUUUACAAGGUACUUAGCUGGCCAAGAGUUCCUCCUACCAUCCUCAAACGGAUGGACAGACAGAAGCCUUGAACAAGUGUCUCGAAAUGUACUUGCGUUGUUUUAUUGCUGACUCUCCUACCCUCUGGUUUAAACUUUUGCCUUGGGCAGAGUUUUGGUAUAAUACCUCCUUUCAGCAUAGUUCCAAGAUGACACCGUUUGAAGUUGUUUAUGGUAGACCUCCUCCCACUAUCACCAGGUUCAUUGCCGACUCUUCUCACAACCAAGCAGUGGUGGAGAAUUUUAGACAACGUGAUGAGACCUUAGCUAUUCUCAAAGAUAAUCUUCACCAAGCACAAGCUAGAAUGAAAGCUCUGGCAGACAAGGGUCGUCGUGAUAUUUCUUUUGAAGUAGGUGAUUGGGUCUAUGUUCGAUUUCGUCCUUAUCGGCAGUUGUCUAUGCGACUACAACGUUAUAGCAAACUCAGUCGUCGUUUUUUUGGUCCAUUUAAAAUUCUCCAACGCAUUGGUGUUGUGGCUUACAAACUAGACCUGCCUACUUCUUCUAGAAUCCAUAAUGUAUUCCAUGUUUCGGUAUUGCGGAAGUACAUUGGGAAUCCCUCUCAACAAGUCACGCCUAUCGACCUCCUAGACCCAGCGGCUCCCUUGAUUCUUCAGCCAGAAGCGAUACUACAACAAAGGCUGGUCUCCAAAGGAGGUCAUCAAAUCCAACAAUUUCUCAUUCAGUGGACUGGUUUGCCAGUGUCUGAAGCCACUUGGGAAGACAAACACACCCUCCAAAAAAGGUUUCCUGAUCUGAACCUUGGGGUCAAGGUUCAACUUGAAGGGGAUGGCAAUGUAACGAACCUAGAGGGAGAGAUGGCAGAGCCACGACGCAGUACCAGAGUAGCGCAGCCACCCAAACACUUGGAUGAUUACGUGGUCACAAAAAGGACAUCUCUGCCAAACUCGUUAGUGGGAAGCAAGCACCAGGCUGUCCCAAAUGCAAGGGAUAUUGUUAUAUAAACUCAGAGAGACUCUUUGUUAGGAUAGGAAUGAGUUUAGUCUUUAUUUUGCCUUAAUUUUCUUUGUUCUGGAACCUUUCCCCAUUCUCCCUUUUGUUUUUUCUUUAAUGAAAUUUUAGUGUUGCUGCUCUUUCUUGUUCAAUCCAAAGCUGUAAUCAGAGGUUUGGUUAUUUUCCAUUUUGAA